This 278-nucleotide small RNA is filed under the name Castor canadensis (American beaver). RNAcentral describes it as "7SK RNA (ENSCCNG00000028477.1)". It matches the Rfam family "7SK RNA", at positions 1 to 252 of the family's 331-position model. From Rfam's summary of the family: 7SK was discovered as an abundant small nuclear RNA in the mid-70s but a possible function has only recently been suggested. Two independent studies have found that 7SK RNA binds the CDK9/cyclin T complex (known as elongation factor P-TEFb). Lineage: Eukaryota; Metazoa; Chordata; Mammalia; Rodentia; Castoridae. The record is from Rfam by way of RNAcentral.
GGAUGUGAGGGCGAUCUGGCUGCGACAUCUGUCACCCCACUGAUCGCCAGGGUUGAUUCGGCUGAUCUGGCUGGCUAGGCGGGUGUCCCCUUCCUCCCUCACCGCUCCAUGUGCGUCCUCCCGAAGCUGCGCUCGGUUGAAGAGGACGCCAUCCCCGAUAGAGGAGGACCGUUCUUCGGUCAAGGGUAUACGAGUAGCUGCGCUCCCCUGCUAGAACCUCCAAACAAGCUCUCAAGAAUCUCUUGGCCAGAUCACUCCUCUCCACGUGGUCACUUUGG